This 254-nucleotide ribosomal RNA is filed under the name uncultured bacterium. RNAcentral describes it as "partial 16S ribosomal RNA". It matches the Rfam family "Bacterial small subunit ribosomal RNA", at positions 15 to 263 of the family's 1533-position model. The record is from RNAcentral.
GAUCAUGGCUCAAAUUGAACGCUGGCGGCAGGCCUAACACAUGCAAGUCGAACGGUAACAGGAAGAAGCUUGCUUCUUUGCUGACGAGUGGCGGACGGGUGAGUAAUGUCUGGGAAACUGCCUGAUGGAGGGGGGAUAACUACUGGAAACGGUAGCUAAUACCGCAUAACGUCGCAAGACCAAAGAGGGGGGACCUUCGGGCCUCUUGCCAUCGGAUGUGCCCAGAUGGGAUUAGCUAGUAGGUGGGGUAACGG